Molecule: unclassified non-coding RNA, 208 nt
Filed under: soil metagenome
Description: partial contains 5.8S ribosomal RNA, internal transcribed spacer 2, and large subunit ribosomal RNA
Source: RNAcentral
AACCAUUCUCACCUGCGGCUAGACCUGCGGAGGGAUCAUUAUCGAGUUGCAAAACUCCAACCCUUUGUGAACAUACCUCAGUCGUUGCUUCGGCGGUGGACGGCCUGUUUUUCGGAACGGCCGGAAGCCGCCGGAGGUUCCAAACUCGUAUUUUUUAGUGUAUCUCUGAGCCUGAAAACAAAUAAUCAAAACUUUCAACAAUGGAUCU